GGGUUGUGAGGUUAAGUGACUAAGCGUACACGGUGGAUGCCUAGGCAGUCAGAGGCGAUGAAGGGCGUGCUAAUCUGCGAAAAGCGUCGGUAAGGUGAUAUGAACCGUUACAACCGGCGAUACCCGAAUGGGGAAACCCAGUGUGUUUCGACACACUAUCAUGUCAUGAAUACAUAGUGGCAUGAGGCGAACCGGGGGAACUGAAACAUCUAAGUACCCCGAGGAAAAGAAAUCAACCGAGAUUCCCCCAGUAGCGGCGAGCGAACGGGGAGGAGCCCAGAACCUGAAUCGGCUUGUGUGUUAGUGGAAGCGUCUGGAAAGUCGCGCAGCAAAGGGUGAUAGCCCCGUACACUAAAAUGCACAGGUCGUGAGUUCGAUGAGUAGGGCGGGACACGUGACAUCCUGUCUGAAUAUGGGGGGACCAUCCUCCAAGGCUAAAUACUCCUGACUGACCGAUAGUGAACCAGUACCGUGAGGGAAAGGCGAAAAGAACCCCGGCGAGGGGAGUGAAAUAGAACCUGAAACCGUGUACGUACAAGCAGUGGGAGCACCUUCGUGGUGUGACUGCGUACCUUUUGUAUAAUGGGUCAGCGACUUAUAUUUUGUAGCAAGGUUAACCGUAUAGGGGAGCCGUAGGGAAACCGAGUCUUAACUGGGCGAAUAGUUGCAAGGUAUAGACCCGAAACCCGGUGAUCUAGCCAUGGGCAGGUUGAAGGUUGGGUAACACUAACUGGAGGACCGAACCGACUAAUGUUGAAAAAUUAGCGGAUGACUUGUGGCUGGGGGUGAAAGGCCAAUCAAACCGGGAGAUAGCUGGUUCUCCCCGAAAGCUAUUUAGGUAGCGCCUCGUGAACUCAUCUUCGGGGGUAGAGCACUGUUUCGGCUAGGGGGCCAUCCCGGCUUACCAAACCGAUGCAAACUCCGAAUACCGAAGAAUGUUAUCACGGGAGACACACGGCGGGUGCUAACGUCCGUCGUGAAGAGGGAAACAACCCAGACCGCCAGCUAAGGUCCCAAAGUCAUGGUUAAGUGGGAAACGAUGUGGGAAGGCACAGACAGCCAGGAUGUUGGCUUAGAAGCAGCCAUCAUUUAAAGAAAGCGUAAUAGCUCACUGGUCGAGUCGGCCUGCGCGGAAGAUGUAACGGGGCUAAACCAUGCACCGAAGCUGCGGCAGCGACGCUUAGGCGUUGUUGGGUAGGGGAGCGUUCUGUAAGCCGUUGAAGGUGGCCUGUGAGGGUUGCUGGAGGUAUCAGAAGUGCGAAUGCUGACAUAAGUAACGAUAAAGCGGGUGAAAAGCCCGCUCGCCGGAAGACCAAGGGUUCCUGUCCAACGUUAAUCGGGGCAGGGUGAGUCGACCCCUAAGGCGAGGCUGAAAAGCGUAGUCGAUGGGAAACAGGUUAAUAUUCCUGUACUUGGUGUUACUGCGAAGGGGGGACGGAGAAGGCUAGGCUGGCCGGGCGACGGUUGUCCCGGUUUAAGCGUGUAGGGGGUGUGACCUGGUAAAUCCGGUUGCAUAUCAACCCUGAGGCGUGAUGACGAUGCACUACGGUGCAGAAGUAGUUGAUGCCCUGCUUCCAGGAAAAUCCUCUAAGCUCCAGGUAACAUUAAAUCGUACCCCAAACCGACACAGGUGGUCAGGUAGAGAAUACCAAGGCGCUUGAGAGAACUCGGGUGAAGGAACUAGGCAAAAUGGUGCCGUAACUUCGGGAGAAGGCACGCUGGCAUGUAGGUGAAGUCCCUUGCGGAUGGAGCUGAAGCCAGUCGAAGAUACCAGCUGGCUGCAACUGUUUAAUAAAAACACAGCACUGUGCAAACACGAAAGUGGACGUAUACGGUGUGACGCCUGCCCGGUGCUGGAAGGUUAAUUGAUGGGGUCAGCCGCAAGGCGAAGCUCUUGAUCGAAGCCCCAGUAAACGGCGGCCGUAACUAUAACGGUCCUAAGGUAGCGAAAUUCCUUGUCGGGUAAGUUCCGACCUGCACGAAUGGCGUAAUGAUGGCCAGGCUGUCUCCACCCGAGACUCAGUGAAAUUGAACUCGCUGUGAAGAUGCAGUGUACCCGCGGCAAGACGGAAAGACCCCGUGAACCUUUACUAUAGCUUGACACUGAACAUUGAGCCUUGAUGUGUAGGAUAGGUGGGAGGCUUUGAAGCGUGGACGCCAGUCUGCGUGGAGCCAUCCUUGAAAUACCACCCUUUAAUGUUUGAUGUUCUAACUCGGCCCCGUGAUCCGGGGUGAGGACAGUGUCUGGUGGGUAGUUUGACUGGGGCGGUCUCCUCCCAAAGAGUAACGGAGGAGCACGAAGGUUAGCUAAUCACGGUCGGACAUCGUGAGGUUAGUGCAAAGGCAUAAGCUAGCUUGACUGCGAGAGUGACGGCUCGAGCAGGUACGAAAGUAGGUCUUAGUGAUCCGGUGGUUCUGAAUGGAAGGGCCAUCGCUCAACGGAUAAAAGGUACUCCGGGGAUAACAGGCUGAUACCGCCCAAGAGUUCAUAUCGACGGCGGUGUUUGGCACCUCGAUGUCGGCUCAUCACAUCCUGGGGCUGAAGUAGGUCCCAAGGGUAUGGCUGUUCGCCAUUUAAAGUGGUACGCGAGCUGGGUUUAGAACGUCGUGAGACAGUUCGGUCCCUAUCUGCCGUGGGCGUUGGAAGAUUGAGAGGGGUUGCUCCUAGUACGAGAGGACCGGAGUGAACGCACCACUGGUGUUCGGGUUGUCAUGCCAAUGGCAUUGCCCGGUAGCUAAGUGCGGAAAAGAUAAGCGCUGAAAGCAUCUAAGCGCGAAACUUGCCUCAAGAUGAGUCUUCCCUGGGCCUUUAAGGCCCCUGAAGGAACGUUUAAGACUAAGACGUUGAUAGGCUGGGUGUGUAAGUGCAGCGAUGCAUUGAGCUAACCAGUACUAAUGAUCCGUGAGGCUUAACCUUACAACACCGAAGGUGUUUUAG
Molecule: ribosomal RNA, 2938 nt
Filed under: Serratia marcescens
Lineage: Bacteria; Pseudomonadati; Pseudomonadota; Gammaproteobacteria; Enterobacterales; Yersiniaceae
Description: bacterial LSU rRNA
Rfam family: Bacterial large subunit ribosomal RNA
Source: RNAcentral